RNAcentral lists this ribosomal RNA (425 nucleotides) under uncultured bacterium. RNAcentral describes it as "partial 16S ribosomal RNA". It matches the Rfam family "Bacterial small subunit ribosomal RNA", at positions 354 to 796 of the family's 1533-position model. The record is from RNAcentral.
GUGGGGAAUCUUGCGCAAUGGGCGAAAGCCUGACGCAGCCAUGCCGCGUGAAUGAUGAAGGUCUUAGGAUUGUAAAAUUCUUUCACCGGGGACGAUAAUGACGGUACCCGGAGAAGAAGCUCCGGCUAACUUCGUACCAGCAGCCGCGGUAAUACGAAGGGGGCUAGCGUUGCUCGGAAUUACUGGGCGUAAAGGGCGCGUAGGCGGACAGCUUAGUCAGAGGUGAAAGCCCAGGGCUCAACCUUGGAAUUGCCUUUGAUACUGGCUGUCUUGAGUUUGGGAGAGGUGAGUGGAACUCCGAGUGUAGAGGUGAAAUUCGUAGAUAUUCGGAAGAACACCAGUGGCGAAGGCGACUCACUGGCCCAAUACUGACGCUGAGGCGCGAAAGCGUGGGGAGCAAACAGGAUUAGAAACCCCGGUAGUCC